Molecule: ribosomal RNA, 124 nt
Filed under: Lepisosteus oculatus (spotted gar)
Lineage: Eukaryota; Metazoa; Chordata; Actinopteri; Semionotiformes; Lepisosteidae
Source: RNAcentral
GCCAGCAGCCAUAUCACCCUGCAACUCACAACUGAACUCACAAACCACUGAAGCUCAGCAGGUGUGAGCCUGGUCAGAACCUGGAUGGGAGACUUCCUGGGAAAAACUAAGGUUGCUGCUGGAA